UGAAUACGAGAUGCUACGGCAUCGAAGCAGUCUAUGUCAUACUUCCAAGAAAAGCUUGCACUGUCAUAAACAAAUAAUGCCUGUACCAUAACCGACACAGGUGGGUAGGUAGAGUAUACUAAGGGGCGCGAGAUAACUCUCUCUAAGGAACUCGGCAAAAUGACUCCGUAACUUCGGGAGAAGGAGUGCCUUAUUUUAUAAGGUUGCAAUAACAAGAUCCAAGCAACUGUUUACCAAAAACACAGGUCUCCGCUAAGUCGUAAGACGAUGUAUGGGGGCUGACGCCUGCCCAGUGCCAGAAGGUUAAAGAAGUUGGUUAGCAUUAGCGAAGCUGAUAACUGAAGCCCUGGUGAACGGCGGCCGUAACGAUAACGGUCCUAAGGUAGCGAAAUUCCUUGUCGGGUAAGUUCCGACCCGCACGAAAGGCGUAAUGAUUUGGAUACUGUCUCGGAGAGGGGCUCGGUGAAAUAGACUUGUCUGUGAAGAUGCGGACUACCUGCACCAGGACAGAAAGACCCUAUGAAGCUUUACUGUAACUUGAGAUAGAAAUUGGACUUUAUUUGCGCAGUAUAGGUGGGAGACGUUGAAAAUAUUCUUGCGGGAAUAUUGGAGUCAUCAGUGAGAUACCACUCUUAUAAUGUUAGAUUUCUAACUUUGUAUCAUUAUCUGGUCAAAGAACAGUCUCAGGCGGGCAGUUUGACUGGGGCGGUCGCCUCCCAAACGGUAACGGAGGCGCACAAAGGUUUCCUCUGAACGUGUAGAAAUCGUAUCUAGAGUGUAAAGGCAUAAGGAAGCUUGACUGUGAGACCUACAAGUCGAGCAGGGACGAAAGUCGGUCUUAGUGAUCUGACGGUGCUGAGUGGAAAGGCCGUCACUCAACGGAUAAAAGUUACUCUAGGAUAACAGGCUGAUCUCCCCCAAGAGUUCACAUCGACGGGGAGGUUUGGCACCUCGAUGUCGGCUCAUCGCAUCCUGGGGCGGUAGUACGUCCCGAGGGUUGGGCUGUUCGCCCAUGAAAGCGGUACGCGAGCUGGGUUCAGAACGUCGUGAGACAGUUCGGUCCAUAUCCGGUGUAGGCGUUAGAAUAUUGAGAGGAGCCUUCUUUAGUACGAGAGGACCGAGAAGGACAUACCUCUGGUGUACCAGUUAUCGUGCCAACGGUAAACGCUGGGUAGCUAUGUAUGGAGAGGAUAACCGCUGAAAGCAUCUAAGUGGGAAGCCCACCUCAAGAUAAGUAUUCU
RNAcentral lists this ribosomal RNA (1241 nucleotides) under metagenome. RNAcentral describes it as "bacterial LSU rRNA". It matches the Rfam family "Bacterial large subunit ribosomal RNA", at positions 1564 to 2814 of the family's 2925-position model. The record is from RNAcentral.